RNAcentral lists this long non-coding RNA (3350 nucleotides) under Equus asinus (donkey). Its description in RNAcentral is "lncRNA (ENSEASG00005031245.1)". The record is from RNAcentral. Lineage: Eukaryota; Metazoa; Chordata; Mammalia; Perissodactyla; Equidae.
GAGACCAAGAAGAACACAGAGGAGGUAGGUACAUGAGUGACCGUAAGCAAAAUAUAAUUCCUCUUUUGUAGGACUUUUAAAAAGUUACAGUUAUGGGCUUUGGCUAUCAUACAAAUGCUCACAGUUAUUAUAAGUCAAUUUAAAAUAAGUUAUUUACUCCUUAUUUGUUAGAAAUAAAAGUAAUCAGAAAUGCUGGCACCAGAAAGAAGAAAAUCAGAAGAAAUAAACAGAAGCAUAUAUUUUAUCCUUAUUGCAAUGACAAGCGGAGGUCGUGUUAUGUUUGAAUGAGAUUUCCAUUCAUGUGCUUGUUUCAAUCUCUCACCUCUAGGAUGCAUGUAAAAACAUUCAAAAGAUAAGACUAAGCUGAGGAUAAAGUUGAUAGCAUCCAUUUUCUUAUAGGAAGAAAAAAGACUACAGCAAUUGUAGAUUCAUAUACAGUCAUGCGUCGCUUAACAACGGGCGCACGUUCUGAAAAAUGCAUCGUUUAGGCAACUUCGUCAUUGUGGGAACAUCAUAGUGUGUACUCACACAAACCUAGAUGGUAUAGCCUACUACACAGCUAGGCUAUAUGGUACUAACCUUAUGGGACCACCGUCACAUAGGCGGUCCAUCAUUGACCGAAAACCUUGUUAUGUGGCCCAUGACUCUACAUCUCCUUCCACUUUCUCAGCCUAAACACUGUGGCCUCACAUUUAGGAAUUUAUAAACAGACACGCUAGGCUUCAGAAUUCCUUUGGGUUUGUCUCCAGAGUGUUCAAAGAGGCUAUAGAGGAAGUAGGGGAAUAUUUGAUAUCUCCCUUGCUUCAAGGACUCAGAAAAUCCAUUUGAAUGGAAAAAAAGCUCCACUUUUGUUAGGGACAUAAUUAGUUCAGAGUGACCAGAACUCUCACACAAGGCGCCCAAAUUUAGAGAGCACUAGUCAAAGCCAAAGAAAAAAAAAAACCUGUUUAAGGCAGUGUAAAAUUUUAAGCUUCUCAACAAAUUUCCACACCAGCUCUCUAGUCACAAGGCACUGGUCCAACCCUAGAACCAGGCCAGCUUCCCUGGUAGGGGGCAGAGAUAGGUAGCGCUGGAAAGUCAAUGGCGAGGGCAGAGAAGUCUUUGACCAUUUGCAUACUGAGAGUUUGAGAGAAGGGUUAUCUCCUCUUUUCCACUUGCCUCAUCCUCUCCCUAGCACACAGUGGAUUGAAGUUGCCAAAAUUGCUAGUCAUAUUUAGUUACAGUUACUGUUGACUUUGUUACAGGCUUGACCUAAGUUGCUGGUGCCUCGGGGUUGUUUACCCAUCUUUGAGGUGUGCCCAUCAGAAGUCAUAUAACCUGAGAGGUGACCUCUACACUGGGACGAUGAGGAAAUACAAAGCACAGCACCGCUCUCAGUCCUUGUUCCUCCACGUACUUGUCCUCAAGCGCCCAGCAAAGUCCUUACAGCUUUGAUCUUUGGAAUGCCACAAACUCAGCAGAUAUUGCCUGAUUUCAGAAAGUUUUUAUACAACACAAUAAGAAUUUCCUAAAGUUUUCAGUGGACUAUGACUUUUUUUCUAAGUCCCUCCGAACUAGCAUUUGUCAGUUAAAAAUUUCACAAAGUCAGUAUUUUUAAACACAAAAAUUAAAACUAUAGAUGGCUGAUUUUCCCACCAAAGAAAUAAGAGGUUAUAUAUAAUAAAAUUAUGAAACUACCAUAGUUGCCAACAAGAAGAAAUAUUAUGGAUAUCCUUUCCAUUUGGAAUCAUCUAUAACCCUCCUGGAACGCUUUUGACUAAUUGAAGAAUAUUUUUGGUAAAUUUAGAAUCCUAGAAUUUCUUCAGUUAUUUUCCAUGUAGGUUUUUAAGCCAUGCUGUCCACCACUUCAGGUACAAUUUAUAUCUAACCUAAGCAAUGUUUUUAGCCAAGAGAAGGGUAUGAGACAUCACAAAGCCAAACACAGCGUACCGUCUGAACAUCUGUCAUUUUGGGUCAUUUACUUCCUACCUUUGUUAAAAUAGCUAAAAGGGAACUAAACAGAAAUAACAUCCAGACAGUGCUCUUUAACGUCUUGUGUUAACUGCAGUUUAGAUGCACAACGCUGUAUAAACUGUUGGUCAAAUGCUCUAUACAAAGCGUAUGGGUCUAGUGUUCUCUUCCAUAUAAAAAUCUUCCAUAUAAAAAAUUUCUUUUCUUUCUUAUAGAAUGACUUAAUCCUUCACCCAUCUUAAUUUUACUGAAGUGUAAUUAAAAUUAAACAGGCGCCAUCCUUAUUCAUGAUCUUUAGCAUCAAUGCAAUUCUCAAACUGGAGCCAAUAAAAAUAAAAAGUUGCAUCAGGUACUCAUUUUCAGUCUCUUCACCCCCUGUUUUGCCCCACGGAGCAAUCUAAUUUUUGUUACUAAAAAGCAAUUUAAAAAUUAAACCAGGGGCCAGCCCAGUGGUGUAGUUGUUAAAUUUGAAUUGGCAAAGAUGUUAGCUCAGCAACAAUCUUCCUCAAGCAAAAAGAGGAAGACUGGCAAUAGAUGUUAGCUCAGGGCCAAUCUGCUUCACCAAAAAAAAAAAAAAGAAAAAGAAAAAUUAGACUGAUGUUAGAGUGUGAUGCCCUCUCUUGGCAGAUGCAUUGAAAGUGAUGAAAUAUCUUCUUAUUCAAUGUGUCUACCACAACCUGAAUAUCAUCUGAGCUGAAUCUUAAGGGUCAGUAAUAUUAAAUUUGGCAAAGUAUGAGGCCCAAUUCUCAGGUCUUUUCAGAUAAAAUAAAAUGAUGGGAGUUUGGAAUUCAACUUCUUUAUAGUAACAGUGUAGUCCAGAGUACUCUGCAAGAUAAUUCUAGAGAGAUCCUAACUUAGGAACACAUAUAUUUCAAUAAGAAUAAAGAUGGCUAACUUCAUGCGACACACGUACACACACACCAUCUGUGUAACCACAGAAAAGGGAGUAUGUAUGGCACACCUGUGAGUUGUCACUACAAAAUAAUGUCAAACUAUAAUCUGCUCUAAGAAAACAUUCUCAUUAAAUUGUAGUCAUACUCAUAACGACGUGAGCAUGUAUGUGUAUCCUUAAAUGAAGACAACGGGGGAACAAUCAAAACUUCAUUUUGGUCUAGUCCAGGGUUUCUUAACCUUGGCACCACUGACAUUUUAGACUGGAUAAUUUUGUUGUGCAGGGGCUGACCCGUGCAUUGUGGGAUGUUCAGCAGGACCCCUGACCUCGACUCAGUAGAUGCCAAUAGCACCCUCCGAAUCGUGACAAUCAAAAGUGUCUCCAGACACUGCCAAAUGCCACCAGGAUCACCUCACUCGAGAAGCCCUGGUCAUAUGAAAUAUUAUUAGUUGGGGCCAUUUCUGUUCUGUCUUUCAGAAGCCACCAAUUUACAGACUAAACAUUGUAC